GAUGAACGCUGGCGGCGUGCCUAAUACAUGCAAGUCGAGCGAACAGACGAGGAGCUUGCUCCUCUGACGUUAGCGGCGGACGGGUGAGUAACACGUGGAUAACCUACCUAUAAGACUGGGGUAACUUCGGGAAACCGGAGCUAAUACCGGAUAAUAUAUUGAACCGCAUGGUUCAAUAGUGAAAGACGGUUUUGCUGUCACUUAUAGAUGGAUCCGCGCCGCAUUAGCUAGUUGGUAAGGUAACGGCUUACCAAGGCAACGAUGCGUAACCGACCUGAUAGGGUACACGGCCACACUGCACCGAAGGUACAGACCACACUCCUACACGAGGAGACAGUAGGGAAUCUGCCGCAAUGGGCGAAAGCCUGACGGAGCAACGCCGCGUGAGUGAUGAAGGUCUUCGGAUCGUAAAACUCUGUUAGUAGGGAAGAACAGAUGUGUAAGUAACUAUGCACGUCUUGACGGUACCUAAUCAGAAAGUCACGGCUAACUACGUU
This 497-nucleotide ribosomal RNA is filed under the name uncultured bacterium. RNAcentral's name for it is "partial 16S ribosomal RNA". It matches the Rfam family "Bacterial small subunit ribosomal RNA", at positions 28 to 507 of the family's 1533-position model. The record is from RNAcentral.